RNAcentral lists this small nucleolar RNA (140 nucleotides) under Ornithorhynchus anatinus (platypus). The record is from RNAcentral. Lineage: Eukaryota; Metazoa; Chordata; Mammalia; Monotremata; Ornithorhynchidae.
GGCCCCUGUCAGGAUCACACCUGGAGAGUUUCCAGUACUCUACCAGUCGUGACUAUUGGGGGGAGAGUCAAGCAGAGGCAUACCCAUUCCAUUCCUAGCUUGGGCAGUGGCUAGCGAGUGGAAGGCCAUCUGCUACAAGU